RNAcentral lists this ribosomal RNA (301 nucleotides) under uncultured bacterium. RNAcentral describes it as "partial 16S ribosomal RNA". It matches the Rfam family "Bacterial small subunit ribosomal RNA", at positions 509 to 807 of the family's 1533-position model. The record is from RNAcentral.
CAGCAGCCACGGUAACACGUAGGGUGCGAGCGUUAAUCGGAAUUACUGGGCGUAAAGCGUGCGCAGGCGGUUAUAUAAGACAGAUGUGAAAUCCCCGGGCUCAACCUGGGACCUGCAUUUGUGACUGUAUAGCUAGAGUACGGUAGAGGGGGAUGGAAUUCCGCGUGUAGCAGUGAAAUGCGUAGAUAUGCGGAGGAACACCGAUGGCGAAGGCAAUCCCCUGGGCCAAUACUGACGCUCAUGCACGAAAGCGUGGGGAGCAAACAGGAUUAGAUACCCCUGUAGUCCCUGUCUCUUAUAC